UGAGAGUCUAACUGUCUCUUUUAGUCAAUCAAUUAAACUGAUCUCCUAGUAAAAAAGCUAGGAUAUUUACAUAAGACCAGAAGACCCUGCGAAGCUUAAACCAAACUAUUAAAUCACAUAAUAACUACUUUCGGUUGGGGCGACCUUGGAAAAAAAAAGAACUUCCAAACACAAUGAUUUUAAUCAUAUACUAAGGCCCACAAGCCAUAAACCUAUGACCCAGCUAAAGCUGAUAAUUGAACCAAGUUACUCCAGGGAUAACAGCGCUAUCUUCUUCAAGAGCCCAUAUCAAAAAGAAGGUUUACGACCUCGAUGUUGGAUCA
RNAcentral lists this ribosomal RNA (323 nucleotides) under Hydrodynastes gigas. RNAcentral describes it as "partial large subunit ribosomal RNA". It matches the Rfam family "Bacterial large subunit ribosomal RNA", at positions 2005 to 2539 of the family's 2925-position model. The record is from RNAcentral. Lineage: Eukaryota; Metazoa; Chordata; Lepidosauria; Squamata; Dipsadidae.